AGGACGAACGCUGGCGGCGUGCUUAACACAUGCAAGUCGAGCGGUAAGGCCCUUUCGGGGGUACACGAGCGGCGAACGGGUGAGUAACACGUGAGCAAUCUGCCCUUCACUUCGGGAUAAGCCUCGGAAACGGGGUCUAAUACCGGAUAUGACCGCGCUACGCAUGUGGUGUGGUGGAAAGUUCUGGCGGUGGAGGAUGAGCUCGCGGCCUAUCAGCUUGUUGGUGGGGUAAUGGCCUACCAAGGCUUCGACGGGUAGCCGGCCUGAGAGGGUGACCGGCCACGACUGGGACUGAGACACGGCCCAGGACUCCUACGGGAGGCAGCAGUAGGGAAUAUGGACAAUGGGCAAAGCCUGAUCCAGCAAUGCCGCGUGAGUGAUGAAGGCCUUAGGGUUGUAAAGCUCUUUUACCGAGAUGAUAAUGACAGUAUCGGAGAACAAGCCCGCUAACUCCGUGCCAGCAGCCGC
Molecule: ribosomal RNA, 468 nt
Filed under: uncultured soil bacterium
Lineage: Bacteria
Description: bacterial SSU rRNA
Rfam family: Bacterial small subunit ribosomal RNA
Source: RNAcentral